Molecule: ribosomal RNA, 253 nt
Filed under: uncultured bacterium
Lineage: Bacteria
Description: partial 16S ribosomal RNA
Rfam family: Bacterial small subunit ribosomal RNA
Source: RNAcentral
UACGGGGGGGGCAAGCGUUGUUCGGAAUUACUGGGCGUAAAGGGUUCGUAGGGGGCCUACUAAGUCAUACGUGAAAUCCCUCGGCUUAACCGGGGAACUGCGUCUGAUACUGGAUGGCUUGAGUUUGGGAGAGGGAUGCGGAAUUCCAGGUGUAGCGGUGAAAUGCGUAGAUAUCUGGAGGAACACCGGUGGCGAAGGCGGCAUCCUGGACCAAUACUGACACUGAGGAGCGAAAGCCAGGGGAGCAAACGGG